Molecule: ribosomal RNA, 253 nt
Filed under: uncultured bacterium
Lineage: Bacteria
Description: partial 16S ribosomal RNA
Rfam family: Bacterial small subunit ribosomal RNA
Source: RNAcentral
CUGUCCUACGGGGGGCAGCAGUGGGGAAUAUUGCACAAUGGGGGAAACCCUGAUGCAGCAACGCCGCGUGAGUGAAGAAGUAUUUCGGUAUGUAAAGCUCUAUCAGCAGGGAAGAAAAUGACGGUACCUGAGUAAGAAGCCCCGGCUAACUACGUGCCAGCAGCCGCGGUAAUACGUAGGGGGCAAGCGUUAUCCGGAUUUACUGGGUGUAAAGGGAGCGUAGACGGCGAUACAAGUCUGAAGUGAAAGCCCG